UCCGUCCCGACGAGGAAUCAGAAGGAUGCCGGAGUCAAAUGUUCGGGCCAAAUUACCCGAUCCCAUAUGAAUGCAGGGCUAGUCGGACGACUCUCCUAAACAUGACAAAAUAAAACCCGACGAUAACUAAUCAUUAAACUUGGGUGGUCGUGAGUAGAUAGAUGAAGUU
This is a non-coding RNA of Cohnella sp., 169 nucleotides long. The record is from Rfam. Lineage: Bacteria; Bacillati; Bacillota; Bacilli; Caryophanales; Paenibacillaceae.